This is a long non-coding RNA of Amblyraja radiata (thorny skate), 125 nucleotides long. RefSeq lists it as uncharacterized. Lineage: Eukaryota; Metazoa; Chordata; Chondrichthyes; Rajiformes; Rajidae. The record is from RefSeq and is a predicted model, not a curated record. The transcript has 3 exons.
AGAUUGUUAAGGAUGAAUCAGUUGAGACACCACGGAGCCCAGGUGAUUUGCCAUCGCCUGUGCAAAAACGUUGUACUCUGUACAGAGGAGAGAGACCGGGCGCCAGUUCUUCAACAUGCGGAGUU